ACUUGCUUAUAUAGGAGUAACUGAGUAGUGGGCAAAACCACUCAUCAUAUAUAAAGAUGGAUUCUUUAAUUUCGUGGACCGAUUUCAAAAAGAAAGAAACCCUAACUUUUCGUCUUCUCGUUACUAUUUUGGAUAUAAAAUAAAAAGAAACCCUCGAGAAGACUCAACCGUUGGGCUCUGCUUUGAUAACUCUAAGUUGUAACACUGUUGAUCAGGGUCUGUUUUAGUAUGAAAUCGAGAAAGAAGGUCGUUGGUGGUUCCAGUGACAGUAUCAGCAGUUUACCGGACGCACUGAUUUGUCACAUCUUAAGCUUUCUUCCCACAAAAGAAGCUGCUUCAACCACUGUUCUUGCCAAGAGAUGGAAGCCUCUGCUUGCUUUUGUACCAAAUCUUGACUUUGACGAUUCAAUCUGUUUCCAUCCUCCAAGGACUUACCAAAGAGCGAGAAACAGUUCUGAAAGUUUUAUGCAGUUCGUGGAUGGUGUAUUGGCUUUGCAAGCGAAAGCCAAAGCUCCGUUGAACAGAUUCCAUGUGAAGUGUAAACAUGUUGUUGAUUGUUCACUUUUUAGUUUCACCGGCUUAGCUCUUUUGUUUUCUUAAACCUUUCUGGAUAAGAUUCAUUAUACUCCUUACAUCAUAUAUAUAUGCCACACUUAGCAUUUAA
This is a long non-coding RNA of Camelina sativa (false flax), 664 nucleotides long. RefSeq lists it as uncharacterized. The record is from RefSeq and is a predicted model, not a curated record. Lineage: Eukaryota; Viridiplantae; Streptophyta; Magnoliopsida; Brassicales; Brassicaceae.